RNAcentral lists this ribosomal RNA (447 nucleotides) under uncultured soil bacterium. RNAcentral's name for it is "bacterial SSU rRNA". It matches the Rfam family "Bacterial small subunit ribosomal RNA", at positions 26 to 518 of the family's 1533-position model. The record is from RNAcentral.
AGAACGAACGCUGGCGGCAUGCCUAAUACAUGCAAGUCGAACGAACACUUCGGUGUUAGUGGCGCACGGGUGCGUAACGCGUGGGAAUCUGCCCUUGGGUUCGGAAUAACAGUUGGAAACGACUGCUAAUACCGGAUGAUAUCGAAAGAUCAAAGAUUUAUCGCCCAGGGAUGAGCCCGCGUAGGAUUAGCUAGUUGGUGAGGUAAAGGCUCACCAAGGCGACGAUCCUUAGCUGGUCUGAGAGGAUGAUCAGCCACACUGGGACUGAGACACGGCCCAGACUCCUACGGGAGGCAGCAGUAGGGAAUAUUGGACAAUGGGCGCAAGCCUGAUCCAGCAAUGCCGCGUGAGUGAUGAAGGCCUUAGGGUUGUAAAGCUCUUUUACCCGAGAUGAUAAUGACAGUAUCGGAAGAAAUAAGCCCCGGCUAACUCCGUGCCAGCAGCCGC